UUAUGGCUGCCACUCAAGGUUU
Molecule: non-coding RNA, 22 nt
Filed under: Arabidopsis thaliana (thale cress)
Lineage: Eukaryota; Viridiplantae; Streptophyta; Magnoliopsida; Brassicales; Brassicaceae
Source: RNAcentral